AUUGAACGCUGGCGGCAGGCCUAACACAUGCAAGUCGAGCGAGCGGCGGACGGGUGAGUAAUGUAUGGGGAUCUGCCCGAUAGAGGGGGAUAACUACUGGAAACGGUGGCUAAUACCGCAUACUAUCAGAUGAACCCAUAUGGGAUUAGCUUGUAGGUGGGGUAACGGCUCACCUAGGCGACGAUCCCUAGCUGGUCUGAGAGGAUGAUCAGCCACACUGGGACUGAGACACGGCCCAGACUCCUACGGGAGGCAGCAGUGGGGAAUAUUGCACAAUGGGCGCAAGCCUGAUGCAGCCAUGCCGCGUGUAUGAAGAAGGCCUUAGGGUUGUAAAGUACUUUCAGCCGGGAGGCGUUACCCGCAGAAGAAGCACCGGCUAACUCCGUGCCAGCAGCCGCGGUAAUUC
This 406-nucleotide ribosomal RNA is filed under the name uncultured bacterium. RNAcentral describes it as "partial 16S ribosomal RNA". It matches the Rfam family "Bacterial small subunit ribosomal RNA", at positions 30 to 526 of the family's 1533-position model. The record is from RNAcentral.